Aspergillus coremiiformis is the source of this 112-nucleotide non-coding RNA. NCBI's taxonomy places the organism in Eukaryota, Fungi, Ascomycota, Eurotiomycetes, Eurotiales, Aspergillaceae. The record is from the annotation of a GenBank genome assembly.
GGCAAGAUGACCGAGUGGUUAAGGUGCGCGACUCAAGCAACUGCUUGUCCUAGCAAAACUAGGGUGUCUUCGCGUGUCGCAAGACGCGUGGGUUCGAAUCCCACUCUUGUCA